Bos taurus (domestic cattle) is the source of this 1333-nucleotide long non-coding RNA. The record is from Ensembl. Lineage: Eukaryota; Metazoa; Chordata; Mammalia; Artiodactyla; Bovidae.
GAAUGCAUCUGUGCUGAGUCAUCCUGACUAGAAUCAAUCAGGUGAGGGUGGGCUAGGAGUGAGCUCUAGGCCAAGGGAGUCAGAGACCCUUCUAUGGUUAUUUUCCUAGUUAUUCAAAGACCAACGUAGGUGCUGUUGUGAAGGGACUUUGCUGGUAUAAUUAAAGUCCCUGAUGAGUUAACUUCAUGCUGGUCAAAGGGGAGAUUACCCUGGGCAGGCCUGACUUUAGCAGUUGCAAGGCCUUUAAGGAAAGAGGGGUUAGUCUUUCUCCUGGGAGCUUAGAGAUUGACAACAGCUGCUGUGUCUGCAAUCUCUCCUUUCCCUUGGGUCCUUCUUUCUGGCAACCACCAGGGGUGGGUGCCCAGCUUCAGCUCUAGGGGUUCCAGCCUGCCCACUCCCUUCCUGACCACUUCCCUGGGGACUUCACACUUACUUAGCCAGCUCCCACAACAGGAUGGUGACUGUGAACUGUGGUGUUGGAGAAGACUCUUGAGAGUCCCUUGGACUGCAAGGAGAUCCAACCAGUCCAUUCUGAAGGAGAUCAGCCCUGGGAUUUCUUUGGAAGGAAUGAUGCUAAAGCUGAAACUCCAGUACUUUGGCCACCUCAUGCGAAGAGUUGACUCAUUGGAAAAGACUCUGAUGCUGGAAGGGAUUGGGGGCAGGAGGAGAAGGGGACAACAGAGGAUGAGAUGGCUGGAUGGCAUCACUGACUCGAUGGACGAGGCUGCAGUGUGAUGCAGUGGGGAUCCAUGAUCUGAUCCACUCAGGGCUCUCCCUGUGGCUAUGAGGAAGCCACUUCUCUGAACCACAGUGUCCUGAGCUCUCAAGAAGGAGGAAAAGGCUUGAAUGCCAGUUGCUCUGCAUCACGGCUGUCGAACAGCUGUCAUCAGCGGACAUUCCGAAGGCAUACAUCUAUUUCUCCCGCCCUUACUUUGAGUUCCACUUUGCACUAUUCUGCUGUUAAUUAUUCCCCUCUAUUCUCUUGUCUAAUUUUGUGUGUCAUUAAAAUAGUUCCAGCUACAUUUUCCUCUUGCUGUUUCUUCGGCUGUAACACCUGUAAUGUGGGGAGACCUGAGUUGAGCCCGUUCGGUCCAAGGAGAACUCAGGUCUCUCACCUCCUGCUCCACUUCACCUGCUCUGUCUAGGGCAGGUGGCGUGUCCCCUCAUACCAGCAGCCCUGCGGUGACACUCUCCCCAUCUGUCUGCUUAUCACCUGACAGCCUGGCCGCCUCAUCGCUCUCCUGUCUGUACAGUUCUAUCGAUCAGACACUCGGUAACCUUGACAGUGUCACUUGAUGUCUUUGCCAUCGAGAGAGCAUCCUCUGGCUCCUGC